RNAcentral lists this ribosomal RNA (817 nucleotides) under Rahnella sp. Its description in RNAcentral is "bacterial SSU rRNA". It matches the Rfam family "Bacterial small subunit ribosomal RNA", at positions 61 to 866 of the family's 1533-position model. The record is from RNAcentral. Lineage: Bacteria; Pseudomonadati; Pseudomonadota; Gammaproteobacteria; Enterobacterales; Yersiniaceae.
GUCGAGCGGCAGCGGGAAGUAGCUUGCUACUUUGCCGGCGAGCGGCGGACGGGUGAGUAAUGUCUGGGAAACUGCCUGAUGGAGGGGGAUAACUACUGGAAACGGUAGCUAAUACCGCAUGACCUCGAAAGAGCAAAGUGGGGGAUCUUCGGACCUCACGCCAUCGGAUGUGCCCAGAUGGGAUUAGCUAGUAGGUGAGGUAAUGGCUCACCUAGGCGACGAUCCCUAGCUGGUCUGAGAGGAUGACCAGCCACACUGGAACUGAGACACGGUCCAGACUCCUACGGGAGGCAGCAGUGGGGAAUAUUGCACAAUGGGCGCAAGCCUGAUGCAGCCAUGCCGCGUGUGUGAAGAAGGCCUUAGGGUUGUAAAGCACUUUCAGCGAGGAGGAAGGCAUCACACUUAAUACGUGUGGUGAUUGACGUUACUCGCAGAAGAAGCACCGGCUAACUCCGUGCCAGCAGCCGCGGUAAUACGGAGGGUGCAAGCGUUAAUCGGAAUUACUGGGCGUAAAGCGCACGCAGGCGGUUUGUUAAGUCAGAUGUGAAAUCCCCGAGCUUAACUUGGGAACUGCAUUUGAAACUGGCAAGCUAGAGUCUUGUAGAGGGGGGUAGAAUUCCAGGUGUAGCGGUGAAAUGCGUAGAGAUCUGGAGGAAUACCGGUGGGCGAGGGCGGUCCCCCUGGACAAAGACUGACGCUCACGUGCGAAAGCGUGGGGAGCAACAGAUUUAAUACCCUGGGUAGUCCACUCUGUAACGAUGUCGACUUGGUAGGUGUGCCCCUUGAGGCAUGGCCUCCCGGACUAACACGUUAAUUC